RNAcentral lists this ribosomal RNA (485 nucleotides) under uncultured bacterium. RNAcentral's name for it is "partial 16S ribosomal RNA". It matches the Rfam family "Bacterial small subunit ribosomal RNA", at positions 29 to 523 of the family's 1533-position model. The record is from RNAcentral.
AGUGAACGCUGGCGGCGUGCUUAACACAUGCAAGUCGAACGAGAACGGAAUAUAGCUUGCUAUAUUUGUCAGCUAAGUGGCGCACGGGUGAGUAAUGUAUAGAUAACCUGCCCUUAAGAAAGGAAUAACAGUUGGAAACGACUGCUAAUGCCCUAUAUGCCUUUAAUACAUAAGUAUGCAAGGGAAACGCUUUAGUGCUUAAGGAUGGGUCUGUAUGGUAUCAGCUUGUUGGUGAGGUAAUGGCUCACCAAGGCUAUGACGCCUAACUGGUUUGAGAGGAUGGUCAGUAAAACUGGAACUGAGACACGGUCCAGACUCCUACGGGAGGCAGCAGUGGGGAAUAUUGCACAAUGGACGAAAGUCUGAUGCAGCAACGCCGCGUGGAGGAUGACACAUUUCGGUGCGUAAACUCCUUUUAUAUAGGAAGAUAAUGACGGUACUAUAUGAAUAAGCACCGGCUAACUCCGUGCCAGCAGCCGCCGUAA